This is an RNA transcript of Dreissena polymorpha, 1708 nucleotides long. It is a transcript of the gene named loricrin-like, with no coding region annotated. The transcript is spliced from 3 exons. The record is from RefSeq and is a predicted model, not a curated record. Lineage: Eukaryota; Metazoa; Mollusca; Bivalvia; Myida; Dreissenidae.
CAAAUGUAUAUUUAGACUUGAAAUGGAUAUGUUUAAUUGUUGUGCUAUUUCUUUCUUGAAUAACAUGUUGUUUGUUCUUAGAUAAAUCGAUUACACCAAGCCCCACAACCCUCCAAAAACAGAAUUAACGGAGUACAUCCAAAACGAAAGCAGACAACGUAAACAGUAAACAGUCUUAAAUUUCUCACGUAGGACAAUGACACCGUUAUAAAUAGACACGUGUGUAUUGAAAGAACGCAACAAUUAAAAGGAAACUUAAUAUGUUUACAAAAUGAAUUGCGAAAUCGUGUUCUCGAUCUGGUUGACGUAUAUAUAAGAAGUUGCUUCGAGUAAUUUAAAAUAUAAUGAGUAUGCUGUAUUGCGAAUUAAUCUAACUUACUUUAAGGAACACCUAGAAUACAUUUUUUUAAGUGAGGAAAACAUAAACAAUAAAUAUAUAGUGUGACUUUUCUGUGCUGGAAAAACGACUUAAUAUUGCAAAGAGAGACAUGGGGAACGAGUGUGGUGGCAACAGCGUUGGAAAGCAUGGCGGUGGACCAUUCGUAAAUCAUACUUUCACUACACGAAACAAAAAACAUGGCGGAAUUGCGUAUAGCCGACGCACUGGCAAUAAGGCUUCGUCUUUAGGAGGUUCGAACUUUGGCUAUAGCGAAUAUAGCGGCAGAGGAGAAAGUAGCGCCUGGGAAGGCGGACAUGAUGGUGGAAACUAUGGCUGUGACAGCGGUGGUUACAGCGGUGGGGAUUGCAGUGGUGGGGACGGCGGUGGUUGCGAUGGUGGCUGUGAUGGCGGUGGUGGCUGGGAUUAGUGGUCGAUGACAAUAAAGAGCAACAGUGUGUGCUACUGCAUAAAUGUGCAUCAAACAUCGGGUGUGAACGUUUAGAGGCCAUUUAUGCACGAACAAAAUUUACGUUCAUAUUUUGAGCGUCUGUGAUUUUUUAUUUUACAAAAUUAUUCUGUAUUUUAUUUUAUGAUCUUUAGAACUGCCUUUUAAGUUUUAGCAUUUAUAUUGUAUCAUUAGUUCAUGUUCUCAAAAUAUUCCUUUUCAUAUCUUUUUGGUGAGCUUUUGGUAUGCACUUUGUACUUAGUAACACGAUUUAUUUAUUUUAUUUAUUUAUCUAUUUUAUUUCAUUAUUUGUUGGGGGCGGUCGAGGGGUUAACAAAACUCUUAUUAAACAUACAAUUUUCAUACUAUAUUUAUGUAAUUAUGCAAUUAUACAAUUGUCAUGAAGUGGCUUUUGUUUCGCCUCAAUGUUAAAGAUCAUCCUUUUAACCGGUAGGUAAUGUUAAAAAUAUAGUCACUAAAUUAAAAACGUUUAAUGCAAUACUUAUAUCCGGACAUAUACUCCGUGUCUGUUCAUUUCGUUUAACCAUAACACGGAAAACAAAACAAAUAUCAUUCGAAUGUUAUCGUAAAACAUUUUCAUGUUUCUGUUUAGCUUUGAGUUUAAGAUUAUGUAGUGCAAUCGAAAUAUUUCUAGUCACCUGCAUGAAAUAAGAGGCUUGAACCAAUACUAUUUUUCCUUAUAAUGCUUGAAUUUUAUAAGUUCUAGAAAGAACGACUUUUUUAUUAUGCACACCCCCAGUGUGUUGCUCAUCUUACGAAAGUGUUAUGUUCGUUUUGUGUUAUGCAUACGUCAUACUAAAAUCACAAAAACGUGUCUGUUUAAUUUUUUAGCCAUGACAAUAAGUUACCUUAUGAUGUUCAAA